GAAGCUUUAGCUUAAUUAAAGUCUCUGUUUUGCAUGCAGAAGAUGUGGGUUAAAUUCCUGUAAGUUUCA
Molecule: transfer RNA, 69 nt
Filed under: Terranatos dolichopterus (saberfin killie)
Lineage: Eukaryota; Metazoa; Chordata; Actinopteri; Cyprinodontiformes; Rivulidae
Description: tRNA-Ala
Rfam family: tRNA
About the family: Transfer RNA (tRNA) molecules are approximately 80 nucleotides in length.
Source: RNAcentral